RNAcentral lists this small nuclear RNA (107 nucleotides) under Castor canadensis (American beaver). Lineage: Eukaryota; Metazoa; Chordata; Mammalia; Rodentia; Castoridae. The record is from RNAcentral.
GUGCUCAUUUCAGCCACUAGGUCACCAAAAACAGAACAAUACAGAGGAGAUUAGCAUGGUCCCUGCCUAAGGAUGACAGGGAAAGGCAUGAAGCCUUCCAUAUUUUU